GAGCUGUGCUGUGACCUUCCAGGCAGAGCCCUAGCAGGACCUCACAAGUCCAGCAUCAGUGGGUUUAUCCUCGUUGAGGAGUUGUUCUGUGUACAAGCUAUUGCAGUAUUGGAGUAACUCCUCAGGACUGAGCUGCUUGCUCUUCCAGCUCAUCAGUGCAUCAACAGAGGUGUGGAGAAAAGAUACAGAAUUCUUUCAACUGGACCUGACCAUCCUCCUGUCGUGUGUCAGCUGGUGUAAAAUCAGGAACGUCUCUAAUGAAAGCAAGUCAGUUAUGCUGUGGAGAAGAGGUGAAGUUUGGACAGUGGAUCUAUGCGCAAUUCCCCCAGUCCCGUGGAUCUGAGGCUAAUAGAAAUGUGAAUCCUGUUUCCAGAUCAACCACUCCAGUUUUGGCAAGCUGAAUUCUCUGGGAGGCCUGCAGUAAUAGACCGUACAAGUACAAUCCUUCUAGAUGUAUAAGAGCAGAACUGGUUGGAUUUUGGACUCUGAGGAUAAGAAACAGGUGAUGCUCAAUUCUGCUUUUUAAACAGUGCCCUAACUGGAAAUUCAAACAUCUGAUAUGUAUGGUAGAACAACUUUGCUUGGGAAUGAAAGCUCACGCAGGAGAUUCCUGCUUCAUCAGGGCUUGCAAAGAGCUGAAUGUCCAGCUAGAAGAUGUUUUGAGUUUUAACACCAAGCUUGACAGAUGCGAUGUCAUCUCUCACUGCUCCCAUCCAGCCUUUCGCUGCUGCCCUUCAGUUCAGUCACUGGAAAAAGAGCAGACGGGAGCACCGAAGAGUGCCGUGAUUGAAAAUAGGUGCAUUUUCCAGUUGGACAUCCAUGUGAUUUGGAACUGAAAGCAAGAGUGAAUACAUAGCUUUGCACCUGGGAGGACAAGAAUGGCAAGCAUUUUCUCUUAUAAGUAUGUCUGUUCUAUAUAGUUCAAGUCAGUGACCAUAUUUUAAUAAGCACCAUUUCUACAUUAUUUUCAUUACUUUAAAGUACAAAAAUGUUACUAUGUCACAUUUUUUUCUUGAGUGACUUCUGAACAAAUAAGCCAUUAAAUGCCUAGAAGAGGGAGAGACAACUAUGAAUAGCAAAGGUAAGAAUGAUCAAACUCAGAAAAACAGUGUGCCAGUAACAGACAUCAGAAUAGAAUCUACCCGUGAUAUCAUGGCCCUGUAAAUCCUUAGAGAUUUGCAAGAUUUCAGGUUGAAAGUAUGUUAAGAUAUGAUCGUUCAAACAGUUUUAAUUAUAUUGGAAAAUAGUCAGGGAAUCCCACUCUCUCUUCUGAAAUGCCAGGUCAGGACAUGAAUUAGCAGGUAGGGUACUUUGAUUAGAGACAAUGUUUGUGGAAAUUAUAUAAUUGAAAAACAUAGCCUUGGAGCUUCUGUGCCUGAUGAUAGUGUUGGUUCGUAAUUUGUUGAUAAAUUAAAAUAUAAAAGACAGGUUACAAAGCCUAUUUCUAAGCUCCCAGGAAGUGUUUUCUUAUUAUAUUUUUGUGUGAUUUUUUUGAUUUAUAUAUAACUGAUUUACCUUCAGAGAUACAUGUCUCUCAGAUUUACCUUCAGGGCCAGAUUUGGCUAUAAAAUAUGUUCAACAUGUUGCAUCAUCAUUCUUGAUCAAGUACAUGACAUACCAACAUACAGAUUUCAAAACCAGCUAUAUUACUUAAGAUUCUGCGUAUCAACAUUAAUCUAUGGGUAAAAAUCAUAUGAGAUUUCAAUCUACAUCCUGGAAGACAUGAGGUGGCUACUUUACAGUAAAUCAUUAAAAUUUAGGCACAUAAAUGUCUAUGAAGAUGUGCAGUACUCACUUAAGGUUAUGACUGGGUCUAGUGCAUUGGAAAAUACUAUUGGCAAAAUAUGUAGUGAUAUAAAUCAUACAUCUAGACAAGAAGUAUAUUAUCUAAAUUUUAAACAAAUUUACAAUAAAGUCUUUGAUUCCUUAUUACACCUUAAAUGGAAAAAAAGGAAUUCUGGUAUGGAAAAGAGGUACUUAGAUCUCUUCCACAAAGAUGAAUGUGGCCUGGACUUUGUUAAGACACAGCCGCCCUUAGAAUCUGAUGCUCUGAGUAGAUUAGUAGGAAUGAACUUUAAUUUUAGUUGCCAGACAGGUUAGACAGCUUUUAUAUGGCUAAGGAGCAUUCAGAGGGACACUGUGGCUGGCCCUGAAAUCCUAUAGAGCUCCAAUGGUGGUUUCCAACGGUCAUCACGUUACUUAUUUCAUAAGGUCAAACUUUACAACCCAGUUACUACCACAGAUAAUUCCUGCAGAGAUAUUUUAUCUAUUUCAUCUUUCCCAUCUAUGUGAAUUUGAGAACUGCUUUUGCAGGAUUAUGGUUUGGAAAAAUGGACCAUAUGAAAUUUGAUUUCUUAAAUGCCAUUUAGAAUACAUUGUUACAUGUAGGCAAAAAUCAAUUAUAACUGCAAAUAUUUUAAAAAAAUAGGGAAAAUCAAUGAAAAGCAAGCUAACUGUUGAGAACGGCAAGUAUGACUGAGGAUGUCAAAAGAGAAAAAGAAACAGAACCCCCUGGACUAUUAACUGCUAAAGGAGAGCUGGUCUCUUAGCAUUCUGAACAUUAAAUUUUUUCCUUGUCAUUCCAUGUACUCAAAAUGCAAAAUAACAAGUACCUAUUGCACUAUAUUGCAAUAAGAACAGAGGGAUGAACUUAAAUCAGUUACGUGAGACAUAACCUUUUGAGUCCAAAUUCACCUACUAUAAUGGAUACGUUCUUUUGUAUAUGGAAAAAAAAUAUAUUUUUGGCCUUUUUUCCUCGCAAUUAACACUAAGGAAUUCAGAGGAGAUGCCUGCCCACACACAAUGAAAGGCUUCAGGCUCUGUGACUCAGCACGGUAAAAAUGUAUGAGAAAGUCAAAAGAAAAGCAUCAAGUAGGUUGAGUUGAGUCACGGUGGUCUGGGAUGUUCCCUCAUGUAAAGCUCAGUGAAAACGUGUAAGAGAAAUCAGAGUGAGGGUAGGAAACCUGGUGGGGUUAGAAUGGGUGGAUCUGAAAGUAAAUCUUGACAUUUUCACAGUAAUUUCUCAUCUGAAUUAUUCUAUCAGAAUUGUCAGAUCUGUGUAUCCUUCCACCUUUCCUUGAGCGCCCCAGUGGGAAUCGGGCACUCCUGGCUUUGUACCAAAGCCUCUGCUGCUCCUCCUGGGAUCCGCAUUCCUGCGCAGGACGGGUGCGUGUUCUUGGGUGCGCACACCAGAGGGUGCUGGUUUUAGAAAAGAGAAUAUGAAUUGUGGGGGGGCCUUCUCACACGGGGAAAUGGCAAUGGAAGAAGUGGGGUUUUGUCUGUAGGAGAACAAGCUCUGACAUGUGUCAGUGCUCAGUACCAUCUGAGCUAGACAAAUAUUAUGUAUUUUCUUAUUCAAAAAUGUGGAGUCAUUAUGAUUCCCAUUGUUUAUAUUACAUGUGCUUAACAUACCUACAUGCAAGUCUAUAUCUUAUAUCAUUUUCUUAUUAUUGUUCUUGUUUAUAUGUGUAUUUAUUAGUGUUUUCCUCAGGCUAUUCUGAACGUCAUUGGGGACUUAAGCAAGAUGUAUGGCAUGUUCUAAAGAAAUACAGUAAAAGAUAAUAUAGCAUAUUUCUUCCAUGCCAGGGUAUAUUAAUUCUUGCUUACAUAAGAAAAUACACAAAUGGUAAACAAGUAAUCAUUUGGAAGCAGUUUAUGCAUGAAUAAUGAUACACAGUCUCAUCUCAGAUAUAAACAAACAAAAAAAGUAUCUAGCUUAACUGCUAAUGGUUUUAGGAAACAUCUUUAUUUUUCAAAGGAAAUCACUCAACAUAAUAAAAACAUGCUUUUAAAAAUAAAUGGGUUAAUUUACCUUUUGAUUCAAGAAAAAUAAAUUCUCCUAAAUACUGUACUUAGCCCUAAAAGAGGUAAAACUCUUGCCCACGUUUGUCUUGGUGAUGGAGUUUGACGUCGGCUUUAUGACACUCAUGUCUGUUUUCUUUAAAAACUCCUUGUGGCUUUUCUGGUGGCUUCUUGGCCUGUAGUUCUGUAGUUCUGUCGGUCACCCUGCAACCAAUUCAAAGCUUAUCAGUGGGGAAGUUCUCUCUGGCUUCACUGGGCUUUCAUAUCAGGUCCUACAGGUUUGAGCCUUUUGCCGGUGAAGUUUAUUACAGAACUUCAGCAGAUUUCAGUGUCUCUUCUGACCAGGACUCUGUGUAUCACCACAAGCACACAGACGUGCUGCAUUUCUUCCUUGACUUUUCCAAGUCUGUUGUGCCACAAAUUUUUCCCACAUAAUGAUAAUUUUAUAAAAGAUGCAAUUUCAAAAAAAGUUGGGGAGUUGUUUGCUUAUUUUGUACACUACUAACCACAAUUUCUCCUUUGACUAUAUGUUUUUAACUUUAAUACCAGGGGAUUUUUAAAAAAUAGCAUUGUAUUUAGGUUACGGAUUCAGUUUAAGUGUUUCUUUGCUCGCAUGAAUAAAGCUCCUUAAGUGUUUGCAGGAUUGAGGUUUUAAUUUGUAACUCUGAUCUGGCUGCACGUAGAAUUCUAAUAAAGUUUAAUGAACAUUAUUAAAAGUUUAUAUGCAGGCAAAUAGGGUUGCACAUUUGGAGUAGGCAUUACUACCCUCCAAAAGAGAAGUAGCUUGAGGUGGCUCCAACUUUCCAUUCACAGAAACAGGAGCAUCGGGACAGCAAGAAGGAGAAUAGGAUCCCCUCAUUUUCCAGACAAAACCCAAUGGUAUAUUGGGGUUUUUUAAUGGGAACCAGAAGUGCUGCUUUUCCAAAGUAAAAUAAGAAUACUUCCACACAAUAGUACUUCAGGGUUUAUAGCUGAAGUAUAAUACAUGUGCUGUAAUAACAUUUAAAUUUGGUAGUUUUAGAGUCCAGGUAGAGGGAAGGAACAGCUGAUUGACACGUGUAUGGUGAGAAGGAAGGGAAACAUGAUGCAGCUUCCCUGGCUUGUGCUAAACCACCGCAUGCAGCUGUUUCUCAAUCACUGGCAAACUUUGCUGGUCCCAUUGAGAAAAUAUUACAAAUGCUAGUAAAAGACUUUCACUGAAGCCAACUUAGCAGUACUACAGCAGUUUAUCUUCACCCCUUUGUUGCUUUAGCUUAUCUUUAUCAUCCAUAACUUGGAAGGAAAUGCCACUGUGAGAUUUGCUUGAGAUAAGUUCCCCAACCUCAGGUAGUUAUUGCCUUGAGCUGGAUUAUACACCUGAGACUUGGACCGAAUGGCUGAGACCAGAGGGGCUGAUCUGGAAGAGAUCAUCACGUCAGUAAGUUGAUUUUUAUUUUGUAAAUCUUACUGGUUCCAAGGCAGUUUAGUCCUGCGAGUGAGGUUACUCGUGUACUUCACUCUUUGCUGGAUCAGGUAUUGUAAACUCUCUGGGAGAGGACUCAUGUUUGUUUUUAUUUGUCUGUAAAGUGCCAAUGUAUACCUAUGGCACUGUAUAAAUAAAUAAUAAUAAUAGAAACAAUAAAAACCAUCUAGGGAUUAGGCAGGCCUUUUAAAGAGGCCAAAUGUUCUUCACAUAAAUCUUGGAUCUAAUUUGAGCUCUAAUAAGCUCCAUUUCCUGCUUUUCCAAUAUUUUUAAGCCGCAUUGCAAUAGCUAUCUUUUUUUUUUUUUCUUUUAACAGUUAUUUUAAGAGGGCCCUAAGGCAAGUAUCUAAUCAGCCUAAUGGAAUUUUCCAUGCGGUUAAGUGUUUUAUUCAGUUCAAAACGUCUUUGAUUUGACUUCCCACCUUCCCUUUUGCCCUUUGCUGUGAUUUUGGCAGGUUCUGCAGGUGUCAGAGCUCCAUCUCCAUCACAUGUGCAGAAUCCUCACUGCGUUUACCAGCUCCGUCACCUCUGAGCCAGGGGACAAAACUCCCAAGCCAGCUCUACAGAGCCAGUCCCAGCUGUGGAUCUGCCUCUGCUGCCUUCUAGACAUGCGACAGCCCUUUGGACAAGACUGUGAAGAAAGUUCCUGUGUGGGGUUUUCCUUUGACACCACGUACAGCUGAUGAUCGUGUCUCUGAAGGAGACCUCACAGCAACUUUCUACAGUCAAGUUGAUUUGAAAAAAAAAAAAAGGAUUGUGAUGUCUGAUGUCUGUUCCACUGCUGUUGUUUGUUUUAAACAUGUAUCUUGUGUGAAAGGGCAUCCUGCGCCUCUUCGGACAGCUUAAGGAAUGUUUGAAAUCAAACGAUGUUUGCUUUAUAAUAGAAAAACUGUGCGUCCCUGUGCUUUUGCACCACUCGUAAUCUCCACAGUGGUUCUCAGUGGGUAGCUUAUAAAUGUACAAGGACGUCUCGCAACACAUUUUGAAGAAAAAAGAGAGUGAGAGAGAAAGAAAGAAGAAGAGAAAGAGAGACUCAUCUAAAGUUACACCAUCAUCUUUAACAGCUGUGCGCAUAUUAAAGGAAGGAACGGGGGAGUGAAGGUACCGCAUAUUUCAAAGCUGAACUGUUGCAGUAACAAUAAGAACGGGGGAUGUUGUGCAGAGUUAGCCAAGUGUUUGAAGUACCUCACCGUAAGCCAAACCAAUGAAGUGGACAAGAUUUCUCGCAUGCUGCAGUGGUGCCUCUGCGUACUUAAUAACAGAUGUUUGGUCUCUCUAGGCAGAUAAUUGUCCUGCUGUAAGGUUGGCUUGACCUGUGUGAGCAAUACUGUGUACAGCACUGAAGCAGUAACAAAUGAUCAUAGCUUUUCUCUUUUUACUGGUAGAAUGCUUAGCCACGCUUCCUUUUAAGCACAUAAUUACUCCAAAGCAACUGGAGCCCAUACAUCCUCCUUGCCUAAUGGCUCUGAAGCCAUUUUGCUAAAAUUUAUGGGGACAAGGUUCAAAGUUUUAAUAAUAUUUGGAUAAUAUCAUUGCCAAAAUGUCUUUGAGCUGUGAUGAAUAGAAUGAGAGCGGGCACAUUUCGAUUCUGUGCAUGACAGUGCGAGUGUUAACAGCACCAGACUCUGUUCAACCUUUAUGGAAACGUUCACGAACCAGUUUGCUCAUGAAUUAUAGAUAUGAGCAUGAAGAAUUAUAAACAGCAGUGGAAAACAUACAGGGUUGCUUGUUCAUAAGGCACUGUCCUGUUAGUGGCUCUUCUUUAUGCAGAUAAAUGAAUUGCAGGGAAUACAAAAAUGGUUUAAAUAAACCCUUAGCAGAUAAUGUAUUAGCACAUCAACAUAAAAUACGCAGGCACUGUGGCAUGCUUUUGGAUAUUUAUGUUUAUACUCUCUGCUCAAGUGGCUCACUGAUUUUUUGGCUUCCUAUCAUUCACCUAAUAAUUCCAGCAUCCUAACUGCACCUCUGGGUAUGUUUAUCUGACAAUCCAAGCUGUUCUUUGCUUUAUGUUGCUUGCUCAAAUUGGCUUACCAAUUUGCUCUGCACGUCGCAUCAGUGUAUGAUAGGCUAAUGAUGUUAAUCAAAGCUAAAUAAGAGUAGGCAUGAGCCUUCCCAUGAAGACAUGGACCAGCCUGGGCCAGGUGUUAGCACCGAUGGAGCAAACAAGCCUAUUGGAUAGGCGGUGUGGCAUCACAAAAAUAACACCAAAAUAACAUGUUGCUAAAGCUCAUGUACACUUAGAGCUCAUCCAAAGCCUACUGAAGUCUGCAGGAGUCUCUGCUGAUUUCAGGAAGAUUUAGAUCAUGAAAUUCUGCAUCAUCUGAUGAAGAAUAUUUUUUUUCCACUUUCCUUGAUAGGGUAUGAAACUUACUGUGAACAAGCUGCGGCUGGAUUCUGUAGGUAAUUAAUCACUGAGAGGUUAAGCAUUUGUUAAGCAAAGAGCACAAGUAUUUUUCAUUACAUACAGAAAUGCUGAGUCUCCCCAUGCGUGACAGCUGCUCUCACUGAUAAACAAAAAGAAAUACAAAUAUGAACAAGAAUUAUUUCAAAUGUUCCCAACAGCGAUGGUAGCUAGAAACAAUUUAAUAAAUACUCUCUGUUUAAUUCCAUUCAGUGAUAGUCAAGCGAUGCUUCAUUUAAUCAAAGGGGCGUUUGAUUACAGAAAUAAUCAGCUGACAAAGUCCCAAUUCUCUCUGGCCACUAAGUAUGCAUGUAGAUAGCUAGAUGUGACAUAUGUGAGGUUUGGCAAUUCUUUCUGAAAAACUAUUAGGAUGGCCUUAAUUGCAGUGGUCUGGUUUUGUAUUUGACAGUCUUUCUUGAAAAUCUUAAUGUUUAUUAUGAAAUUUUAAUGUUCAUUUCUUGAAGAUUGUUUUAAAUAUAAGCCUUAAUUGGCUUGUUGUGUAAACAGGGAUUUUUCUCAAUGGGUUGAACAGUGUUCACCAACUAAAAUUAUUUCCUCUGAUUAUGCUGAGGCCUAAAGCCACUGUGAACUUCCACGAUUGGUAAAUAAAAACAACCAAAAAAUUAAGUAAUAUACAUAGGAUUUAAUUAAUCUUCCGCUAUUCAAAGAAGAGCAUGUAAUCUUAUAAAAAAUUGAUUGAUAACUCCUGUCCUUACCCUAAAAUAACACGUGGACUAUUUUAAUGGUGUCUUUUUUUCACUAAGUCUUUACAAAUGGGUAUAUUUCUGUAUUGGGUUACCAUUACAGGAUGAAAUAUAUACUUCAUUCUUCCUCCUCCUAAUUCUUUUCCUUCUUCAACUACAAAGAGAGUCUGGAAACCUUCAGCCUCAGAAGUUAAAAAUACAACAUCUCUGUAUUUUUCUUAAUUGAUUUCUGGAAAAACUGUGAUCUCUAAGAAUGAAUUGAGAGACAGGAGCGAUAAAGGCAGAAGUAGUUUUACAUUUUGAACAAUUCCAACAAGGGGCUGAAUAUUCAACAACUGAUAGGCCAAAUAACAAGUUGUUAACUUCACAAUGCACAGUCACAGAGUACGUAUGUGUCACUUUGAGCAAAGAUUGAAAAGACGUUAGAAUUAGAGAUUUAACAGCCAGUUUUGAUUAAAUCAAAACAAUCAGAGCAGUUGCAUUUGCAACAGAAUGAGGUUUAAAAACCUCAGGCUGGGAAUUCUUUGGCAGACCUCACAGUUCAAGCUUAUUCUAGAAUAAUUUUUUCAGGUGAUACCUUUGAAAAAUAUAUAUUGUGAAAUACUUGAGGACUCUUGUGGCAAAUAACAAUGUAUGCUCAAUUCUUUUGUCUCCUGUCCAUGACUUAGAACAGGCAACAGAGCCACAGAAAUGCUGCUCUUUGCUUUGUUGUGGAGAGGUUUCCAUCUUAUUUAAAGUCAGGUCACAGGAAAUCCUGAUUUUUUUAGGCCAUGUUUGAUAGUUACGCCCAAUGAAAUAAAAAAGGAGUAUGGAUAAAGCCACGUUAUCCAUUCCUAUAAACUGAAAACAUUUAAAUAUAAAUCAGUAGAAACCAGCAAUAGAUCAGUCACUUUUUCUCCUUUUUUAUUAAUUCACAUAGGGCUUGUCAGCACUUGCUUUGAUUGAAAGUGUCCCCUCCUCACAUACACCACAAAACGUAGUGAUCCGUCCCAGGACAGUGGAUCACAAACAGAGGACCUAGCGAUGGAGGAGCCUGAAAGCUUCAAAAGUUGCAUUAUGCCUCAGCAAGAGGUUUAUGUCCAAAUAACUAUGUCAUGCUACCUGUAGCUGGAGAGUGACACUUCCAAUUUAUCUGCAGCCCUUUUGUCCCUGGAACAAUUGCGUUAUCGGUCUUUGGAGAACUGCUGAUGGCUGUUUCCAAAUCACAUCUUGUUGAAUGUCCCAGUGAUGUACUUUGAUAUCAUCACAUCAGAGACAUUAAUCAGCCGUAGGUAUGAUACCCGCCCUUUAUUCUUCUGUCUGUUCUAUCAAGGGAGGCUGCACUCCACACACCGUCGAGAGAUUUCUUGGUACCUAUGUCAUUCUUAUAAAAUUUGAGAACCUGCUAGUAUUUUAUUUGAUGGCAAAUGCACCUCAGUACAGCCAAAUUAAUGAUUCUUAGUGAUAUCCUUCAUUGAGAAAGAUCCCAGCAUAUGUGAUAGGCUCAGACUUCUAGAGCCAAACUUCUCUCCAUGCUUAAAAGUGUUGACAAUCUAAUUCUGCAGGAUGUCAUGAACACAUUGCAGGUUGUUCCAAAGCAACAUACAGAAAAGAUUCAAGGUGAUCUUUUUUUUUUUUUUUUCAUUUUGUUCCCAUUUAUCUCUUUCCAUCCACCCAUUGCGCUACACUUCUACCCCUGAAAACUGGUGCUGUAAGUUCAUGGCAAAAGGAGAAUUCCAGAGAUCUCCACUGGCAGGUAUUGAUUAUGAAGUAUUUUUGUUUAGCCUUAGUUAAAAUCAGGCUGUUGCGCCUACUUCUAAACGAUACAGCUCUCCAGGUAUACUUCUAAUUCCUGUUUAUCCCCUCCUUGUGCGGUGGAAUUUGAAGUGACCUGCUUCCUCGAAUUGAAUGGGAGCUCUUACUCGAUCACGCUGUCCUUUAAUUUAGCUCUCCCACCUAGAACAAUGGGUGAUUAACACAAAUCAAAGCAAGGCUGGGUGCAGCUGCUGGGCCCCAGCGCUCGCCUGCUGUGUAGCAGCGUGUCCUGGUCCCUGCCAAGCCCUGGGCUGUGUCACCGCUCCGAGGAGCCGUCCUUUGAGCAGCAAACAUCACGCAACUGCACAUUGUUGGGGGACUUCAGCGGCGCUUCCAAGCAGUCCAGAUUGGGCAACUGGAAGCGAAGGUGAAUUAGGCAGAAAUACAUAAAUGAGGGUUUAAGUAUUGUUUUGGUUUUAUUUUUUAUUCAUGCUGUGGAUUAUAUUACCACCGAUGCUCCUUUUUCCCCCUACAUUAUUGAAAUGCUCGUUGGCCUAUUUGUCAGGCAUUUCAGUUUAAAGGUUCAUUUCUUUUUUUCCAUUUUCAUCUUGAUCCCAAUGCCAGCAUAAUAUCUCAUCCAGCUGUAGCUUCUUUAGAUCAGGAUGUGUUUGAAAUCUCGUUUUAAAAGAAUUGCACUUUGAUUCUGGAAAUUAUCUUAUACUUUUCUACAUAUAACUCCUAGAAAGUUGUUUCAAUGCAGUUUGUUUUGGUGCUGGUCCAAAGGCGUAUAGCAUCAAUGAAAUGAAACUCAAUGUAAAUUGUUUUGAAUCAGGCUCAGGAAAAUGCAUCUGAAGUAUUGGCAUUGAUAGUCACCUUUUUAUAAAACAAAUGGAAAAAAGUAUUUUAUAUAUAUCCUUUCAGAGGGAUGAAGCCGUUAAGCUGUGUAGAAUUUACUUUUAAAAACUUGUAUUAGAGAGCAAGAUCACUUCAGUUGAUGCUGACUACAAAAGGUUGCAAAUAGAUUAGUUAUCCAGGUGUCUACACACUAGGUGAGGUGUAGAGUGUCCCAGAAGCUUUACCAGCCCAACCCUGCGUGGAUUUCACCACAGACUCUUCUGAAUACCAAGGUACUGGAUCUAUCCACAAGCACAGUCUGCUACUUAUAAAUUAUUAUGGCUAAAUACCACAGUUUUCCUUUCCAGUCUCUGAGAGAGCAUAUAAUGCUGCUAACCCAGGCCCAAAGCAAAGAGCACUAAGGGCGGGAGACGUCUUUGCCUUACGUUAGUAAUCUUUGCAUCAAGUCCUUGAUCUUUCCUUCAAAACCUGACGGGCAUGUACUCAAUUUCAUAUGUACAUUAUAUGACUCCUUGGAGAAAAAAGAAAAUAUAAAAGGUUUCUAAAAGGUCAGGGUUACUUGGUAGGCACUAGUUAAAAUGAGACUCUGCAUACCUGCUAUGAUCCAGUGUUUAGAAAACAAACAGGGUUAGAUCCAAACAAAGGAUUCUUUUUAAUAGUAAACAUAUUUAAGAGGGUGCCUGUGUAAAUGUGAAUUGUUUAGGGGAUGGAUUACCAUUUUGCAUACAUUUUAGAGCUCUGAGAGAAGCCAUUAAGGGAUUAACACCUCCGAUUUAUGAAAAUGCAAGGAUGAUAAAGAAACAAUAGGGGUGACAGCAUUGUGUAAACGACAUUGAUUCAUUUCAGAACAGGGCUGUUAACUGCUGGAAAUGAAGAAAUAAAUGGAACAAUGGAUAGAUGCUUUUACCAGCUUGUCAUUAAUUAGCAGUGAGCACAAUUCUUUUAUUGUCCUUUUUGAAAAAUACAAAAUUGGUAGGAAAAUACAAGCACUGAGCAAAUAGAUUACUCUGUGUCACUAGGCUGACAUCUGCAUUUUCUUUCUUCUCUAAUAUAUUUUGUUUUUCAAAUGAUAUCGAACUUUUAGCCUGGCAGCAAGCCCAAAUUUCUCUUCCUUUGAAAUUCCUAAAAGGACGUGUUUUCACCCUUCAAAACCUCAGUACUCUGCAAAAGCAGAACAAAAGGCAUGGUUUGAGAAAGGGUUAAUAAAUAUGAGUGAACCCCCUGUACCGCAGCUUGGGAGCACGAACACCAGCUCCAUGCUCUGUUCCGCUGGCCUAUUGCAUCCCAUCCACUGGGGUUUUAUUUCCAGCGAUGCCAGCAGGUGGGACCUGACAGUGGGUUUCUUCGGGAUAGGAAAGAAAGAUCAUCUCUGAUGGAGAAUGAGCUGGGAGUGAGCGAGGUUGUUUGGCACAGAUGUAACAGGGACAAUGCUUGAUUAUGGCUAUCACUCUCCAGCUGCUGUCAGAAUGUGAAGUUUGCUUUCUUGAGGCCUGACAUUGAACACAUUUCUUUUUCUAAUUGGUAUCUGGUACUGUACGAUGCUGAUAUUUUACUGCGUGUCAGAUGCACAGGGCUGAAAUACAUCACUGAACUCAGAGGUAGGUAUGCUAGGAAUUAGGGUUUUUAUCUCGUAGCAAAUUCGAAGCUGCCUCUGUUUUAAAACAAGCUGCGUGGAUGGAGAAGUCAGCGCACAUAAACCUCCAGUGCUGUUGCCCAAGAAAAGAUGCAGAGUGAAGCUGACAAAUCAAACAUCAGCCAGGCAAAAUACCCCGAAAAGCAGUUUUAUUUUCAUCAGCGUCUUCGGGCAAUAUUCUGUUCGCAGAUAUUUCCUCCUGCUGGCAGCAGAGCAGCGUGUUUCCCAGCUGCAGAUGCCAGGGUACAGGGGGUUUCUGCCACGCUCAAGAAGCAGCAGCCCUGCCCACCAGAGUCAGGUUAAGGGCACAAACAUUUUUUCAUAAACCAUGUUAGCGUCCUGAGGCAAAGGUUGCCUGUUCAGUGGAAUUUACCCUUCAAAGAACAGUUGUGCUCCAAGCACAUGGAGCUGUACUGUCAGAUACAGGAUGGACAUUUUAAAGAUGUUAUGAUCUACUUUGAAUUCUGAGCAGGGGCAAACUGCUCCAUGCCAGUGGAAUAAUAUGUCCUGCAUUUAAUGUGUGGAACACUGAAGAUUUCUACAGAAUAAAAAGUCUGGGUCUAGGCAACCAGCAGACCACCUCGGAACGGCUUCGGAUUCCGGGGCAGGAGGAAACAGUCAACAAACGGGCCUUUCAGCUGCACCACCCCGGAUCUGCAACAACAAUCUACAGCCCAGCACUCCUGUUACAAAUGGCUUUUUGAAAUUCCAAGAUUACCCUGAUUUCUGGAUCCCUUUGUCUCAAGAGGACUGGAAAAGAAUCUUUCACAAAGAUUUUCUCUCAGUUGUGGUAUUGCUGAUGUCAAGCAUGCAAAAAUCAUGAGUCAGCACUCCAAACGUCACGAGACUGCAGGAAAAAAAAGCCAUCUUUUAAAAUAUAUAUAUAUAUAUAUAUAUAUAUAUAUAUAUAUAUAUAUGGCACUCUUUUUUUUUUAGCCUUUAUGGUAAAUGUAUGGUGUAUUUUUAUACUUCUUCUGCAAAGGGAAAUCUUGUUUUUCAAUACAAAAGAAGAAAAAAGAAGAAACAGAUGAGCUUGCUCAAAAAUUUGCACGACUCCCAGGAACGCGUUUUUGAAGAAUGUUUGCAGCGUUGCAAACAUGGCAACGUAAUUACGAGUGUUGGCAACAUGGUAAUUAUUUGUGAGAACUUUGAUCUAAAUUGAGGUCAAUAAAAACAAAUAAUAAAAAAAAAAAAGAAAAAAAAAAAAAGAAGCGAUUGAAAGAAAAGCAAAGAAAUCCUUCCUUCGUUUUUCAGAAGGCCAGGCUGCCGAAAUGCCAUUUGUUCUGCAGUCCUCCCCAGAAAUCCUCAAGCACAAAUUCAGAAUAGGCCUCAUGUCUUUAAGGUUAAAUAAAAAGACAUAUACACAUCUGAUUACCAGAUAUGGUCAGAUAAUGACAAAUAACACACUGAUUUGGCGAAAAGAAAGGAAUAGGCAAGCUAGCGCAGAUGCUGCUGUUACAAAGAUAUAAGACCUUUACCACAGUUGAAAAGACAAAGACUAUUUGAAUCUAACAACAUGGUUUCUGGCCAGAAAAAAAAGCUACAAUUAUUUUUAAAAAUGUCACCUCAUUCACAUUCAAUGAUCACAGAAAAUGGAAACAUUUUAAGGAGUAAUUGUAAACAUCUGCUGGAGAAAAAGCGAAAACAUGACUAAGGCGGAGAUGAGCUGCCAACAGUAAGUGUUGCGUGAACAGAUCCACCGGGAAUACACCCUUUCUGCGGACGGGCUUGAUCUGGAAUUUGAAGAAACGCAUGAUUAUAAAAAAGAUCAGAAUCCACCUAAGGGCAUUUGACUUUAAGGCGGCCUGGCCGGCUGCUCGUGUCUCCAGGAAUGCGGCUGCACUUGCGUUUCUGCAGCGGCCCGGGCUCCCGCUGCUCCUGCGGCCUCGUGCCAGCAGCCGCGCUCGCGCAGGCACAGGGCCCGGCCUCCGCAUCACAGCACCAGCCUCUCUCUUUUUCAGCCUAGUUAUUUCUCGACUGGAUCAGGCAAGAACAAGUCAAUGUCAGCGCAGAUGGUGAUGACAGCUCAGGCUGGAAUGCCUCUGAUUCUGAACCAUUGCCUGCAAAUACUGAUUUCAAACUGUAAUGACAACAUAAACGAAGGGAAAUCAGAUCCUUCUGUUUCUUAGAAAGUGUUUGCCUAAUCCGAGGGCAAGGAACAAGUGGAAGGCGUCUAUAGAUCUACACAUCAGCACUGCAUUUAGUUGUUGGGCGGCUUUGUAAGAUCUAUUGACUCCAGCACAGAGAAAUGGAAAGACUGAGUGAACACGGGAGGAAAUGAAAGGUGUGGAUCACCCGCUUCUCCAGGGGCAGCUGUGCCGGUUACAGGUGUUUCCAUGAACAACAGAGAUAUAACUCCACGUAUCCUCUGGCACAAGUGAUCACAUUCACAUUUUUCUAAAAUACUGCAGGCAGCCUGGGUAGCCAACCCUUAUAUUUACAAGCAGCUUCUCUCACUGAAAAUGUUUUAUCCCCAUCCAUUGGUAGAAGCUUGCAACUCCCCCACUUCUGCUGCUGACCGGUUCAUUUGAAUUAGUCCUCAUCUCUCCCCUGCUGUAACUGAGGAAAAUCAGGCAGAUUACGUGCAGCUGUGGGCAGAGAAGCUGCUGUGCUGGGUUAAAAGCUUGAAUUACCUCCAUUGCCAUAGGAAUGCCUGCCCUUCUGCAGCACGGGCUGAAACACCGGGGAAACAAAUACCUGCUGGCAAGGUUGAAGAACCUGAAACAAAACCUGUUUCCCAGCUCUGGAUUGAUAGAUGAUGAUUCUGCAUAAAGAGUACAGAUUGGAGCUGAAAGUACAGGUGGAGAGUCAACUGCCUAAUCGUCAUACGGCUAAAUAUUUGUUCGCUUGCUUAAGAUGCAAGAAAUCCUGGAGAACUCUCUGCUUCCACAAGAGGAUCUCAGCAUAGAGGCAUGUUUCAGAAAGGUGGUUGUGUGGAAAAGAGAGAAAUCCUGUGGGUUAAAGUCAUUAAAUGAGAACCAGGUGUAUUUGGUGAACAGUUAUUCUCUGACCUUCACUGACAGAGGAACUCCCUUAUGGAAGACGGAACAAUAGAAGCACAACAUCAUGCCAGCAGCACGGACCAACUCACUGAAGAUGGCAGAUGGACAGAACACCAGUAGUUAUGGUUAAUAUUUAAUGGUUCUCAGGAAUAGCUGUCCUGACGUGGGGAGGAGCCAGAGGAUACCCAUAAGUGCUGUGUGUGCUGCACUCAGCUCAGCAGAGGCCUCUGCUGAACAAAGAGUAACUGGCUGAGAUGAGCUCAAAACCAGGCCCAGCAUCUCACCUUUAAACAUCCUUGUCAGGGCCGUAUAGGAACCCUCUGACAGGCAGUGCUGGGCAGAAAGAAAAUUCCAUAGGAACAAGUAAGUGUGAACAGAUCUAUCAUUUCUAGGGGGAAAAAAAUCAAGAGCUGUGCAUUAUCAAACAAGGAUAUUCACACACGAUUUGCAAUUAGAGAAUGUAUAUAUUUUACCAGAACUUUGUUUAAAAGCCAUUUGAGCAAUUGUACCAGAGGGAGUGUGAUUUGCAAUACGACCUAAAGUAUACCUUUGGAUCAUUUCAAACUGUUUUCCAUCUUUAUUUAACUGAGUUUGCCACGCUGAAACUGAAUCAGAAGUGCUUUAUUCUUCACUCUAGAGCUGUGCAGAUCUAAGCUAUAAACAAGAAAAGCAGUAAAAAGUUGCAUUUGUAAAUAUUUUAGAGAAGAAUGUUGUUUGGUGGAGCUUUAUGCUGUUUUCUCUGGUGCUUUUGAGUGCUUUCUAGAGGCUCAUUAGGGAAAUGUAUUCUUUGAUUUUGGUAAUCAAUUGAUCACCAUUUGAAGCUUUGCUCAGACACACAGUUAUUGUGAAGAGCAGUACUUUGAAAUAUCCGUUUGACUCUGUGAUACUUGCUUUAUUCAACUCCGCUUCAGGCAAAUUAAAAUGUGCUGCUAUGUAAUAAGCAUGGGAAGGUUAGCAUUCACACUUUAGGGAUAAAACAUUUUGACAGUUCUAUUCUACAUUUGCAUUUAAAAAUUGUAACGCUUUUAAUUAGACCCUAUGUUUAUCGUGGGAUCUCUUGUGUGCAUUACUACUGUGAGAUUGUUACCUUUCAGGACUUGUUCUGGACUGCUUGUCUGUGGGGAGGCACAAAAGCUCGCUGGGUUCACAUGCAUUUCGCUUUCUGGUCCAUGAUAUGUCUCAUUUUCUUUAAUUUCUCCGGGGGUUCCACCUGUACCGCUACCGCUGAGUCAUUUGGGUUUGUUUCUGAAAUGUUUAAUGUGCAGUUAGGGAGGUGCAUGUGCAUAGUUCUCUCUUACGUGCUUGGUAUAUUUUCCCAGUGGCGUCCAAAUUCUCAGGUUUUGGUGCUCAGUAAGAUCCCCAAGGGGACAGAGGCAAAUGUUGUCUGGGUGGAGACAAGAGAUGCUGCCACAACAUCCGUUAUCUUUAUAUCUGGUGGACAGGUGAUGCUCAAACACAGCACAUGCACAGACAAUGGUCAACAUUCUGAGCUCGUGAAACCGAUCUGCACAGGCUGAUGUCUGAAGGACCGGUCACUUAAACUGUCCAGAUCAGUUGCUCCCCUUUUAUUUUAUUCUUCAUCUUUCUAUAUUAGAAAUGUUUAGGGGGGGUUCAAGUAAUCUGAUAAAAUAUCUGCAACGUUGCUCUCACCAAGAAAACAUUCAUUGAGAUAAGGCAAAUGUAUGCUGUAUCAAGAGGCUUGUUUGUAAAUUAGACCAAGCAAUUAAAAAAAAAAAAAAAAAGUAAGCUGGCUAUGUGCUUCAGACUUUUCAGGAGAGUAGAGAGAAGUGACAAAAUAUUGCAGGUUUUAGUAGAAAAAUGUAUUUGAGCUGAAAUAAGCUCUUCUCCCUCAUAGUUUAGCCAGUGGCUAGAUACUACAUAUAAUUAUUAUUAGAUUUACAUCGGGAAGGAUGUGGGUUUAGGUGGUACCAGAAAUCCUGUGCAGUGAAUCCUCCAGGAAACUCCAAAACCCUGAGACCACUGUGAGCUGCUGGUUUCCAGACCUUCCGCCACCUUUGGGAGCUGUUUCUUCUGACGCAGCAAUAAACAGCAGAGAAGGGAAAAUACUCUGGAAAUUCAGAUAUAGGAUGUGUACAAAGUCAUGCUUUCUGAUUGUGGCCACAGUAAACCCUCCCAGCGCACCCAGAUUGGAUCUCGCAUUGAAAAACAUCAAAAUCUGAAUUAUACAGAGGCUAUGCAGCACUAUGGGUAUUAGUGACUGCAAAUGAGGGUGUCAUGAGCUCUGGUGACUGCACAGAACUGCCUGGUACAGAGACAUCAGGCUGGAGGAACAACUCUACAACGUGGUGAAAGAACUUUGUGACAGCCAGGCUCCAAAUCUGACCAAGUGUGUGAAUGGUUGAGAAGAGUGUGCUUGGAGAAAAUAAUUUGUGGCUUACAAGAAACAUUAAACGUGCACAGAGAAACAUCUUGGAAGCAAACAAACGCUAUCUCCCAGUUUCACAGGAAAGGAGCAAGAAGUCAGAAAUACCGUAACCACUGAAAGACAGCUUGAAUAUAGAAACACUCUGUUGGACCAAAUAUUCAAGAGUAAGGUAUAGACAGACAUACCCCAGAGUUGUGGCACCCGUUAAUAGCUCAGCAAGCCUGUGCAGCUGUGUUUUGAUCAGCAGAAAGGUUUCCUGGCAUCCGAGAACCAAAAUCACCUCUUGGGUAUGACAAGUGCAUCUAAGUAUCUAGCAAGUGAAAAUCAAGGGUUUCUGUAAGGAAGGAGUAAGAGCACCUACCACAAAAAAUUAAAACAUCUUUCCCACUGUUCAAAAGCACAGACGGCACAAGCCUGACUUUCUUUCUCAUCACUAAGGAUGAUUUACAUCACACCAGCAGUAAAAGAGGACCUGCAGAAAGUGUGGAUAUAAUUAGAAGCACUUUAUUUUAUGCUACUGAAGUAGCAGAGAGUGUCCUUGUCCCUUCUGCUCCUCUGCCAAGAAGCGUUCCAGUGGGGACUGGUGCGAAUGGGAAUGGGGAAUUCCUCCUCUCUGGUCCUGGGCAGCUCCACCAACACGCUCAGCAUGGGCACGCUGCUGCACAUUUGUUUGAGGUCAUCACACCUCACUGGAGGUUUCCCCAGCUUAAUGAGCAACUCGGAAACCAUAGAGAGGACCAGAAGACAGGGGUCAUUGUACAUUCUUACAUUUGAAGGCUGCUCCAGAGCAUCCACAAGAAGAUUCGUGGCAUCUGCCUAGGUAAGCUGAAUGUCCAAUAUUAUCUCUCCAGGCAAGUAAGAUUAUAACAGCCACUGUAGUCCCGUUUCACUUCUCAAUCCUUUUGACAUGAGCACCUUAAUUCUCUCAAGCUCCUUCAGCAGCUGUAAGAAGUUCUCUCUCUUUUUUUUCAAUAUGAUUGAUAAUAUUGAAUAUUUCUUUUAACCUUUUACUGGCAUUCCUGGGCUAAGUGAUAGUUACUCUAUUUGGAUGUUAAUCUCCUGCAUGCAGUAGCACAUCUUUCAAUCACCUACUCAUUAUGGAGCUCAUUUGUAAGAUGCUCCUGUUUCAUUUACUAUGAAAGCCUAUGAAGCUCCACCCAGCAUUAGCCCUACAACAAGUAAUGUCAUUCUCCAACUGUCAAAGCUCACAUAAAGCAAACCAUUGCUUUAUACAGAAACUCCUAGUUUAACACAGAAGGAAUGGCAGCCCUUGGGCAAAAUUUGACUGUAUAGUUUCAUAUGAUGCAGUGGAAAGAAAUACGUUCUGGAAAAGGUGCCAAUAGCGCAGGUUCUCUGGUCCAGUUCAGGAAAUGACCCAGCUGAAACGUACUGGCAAAAAUAUCAUUUUCUUCACUUCCAGUUUCUCAGGAGAGAAAAAAAAAAAAAAGAAAGAAGAAGGAAAUAAA
Columba livia (rock pigeon) is the source of this 19443-nucleotide long non-coding RNA. RefSeq lists it as uncharacterized. The record is from RefSeq and is a predicted model, not a curated record. The transcript is spliced from 24 exons. Lineage: Eukaryota; Metazoa; Chordata; Aves; Columbiformes; Columbidae.